Oryzias melastigma (Indian medaka) is the source of this 517-nucleotide long non-coding RNA. RefSeq lists it as uncharacterized. NCBI's taxonomy places the organism in Eukaryota, Metazoa, Chordata, Actinopteri, Beloniformes, Adrianichthyidae. The transcript has 2 exons. The record is from RefSeq and is a predicted model, not a curated record.
AUCACGCAGAAGGUGGAGGCGGAUGUUUUGCAGGACACUGGAAGGACAAGGACACCAAUCAACUUCAAGCUAAUCAAUAACUUUAGCGUACAAAGUGAACGCCCUGAUGACAGGGAAGGACUCACAGAACCCGACGCCGCCCCGGCCAUGAACGUGAUGGUGAGAGUGGCCUCCCCAGUUUUAUACCACUCAGUCAGAAAGCUCUUGCCCCUCUCGUAGUUGUACCAGUACAUGGCUGAGAAGGGCACAUCCCGGAGCAGAGUGGGGCCCAAGCCCCUCCACAGAGACAGCCAGCCCUCCGUCUCCAUCGCUGAGCGGAUGCAGGCGCUGAGCUCUCUGUACGACUGUCUCUGGGACUGCAGCUUGGUGCGAAUGAGCUCCAGGGGGCUGAUCAUCGUUGCAGACCCCACUGAAAAGGAGACGAGGUGUUAGACACAUAUUUAUAUAAUGCUUUACAGGCUUUCAAAUAAAUCAAAAAAUGUAUAGAAAUAUGGUACUUUAAAAAACAAAAUAAAAA